Molecule: long non-coding RNA, 362 nt
Organism: Pseudophryne corroboree (corroboree frog)
Lineage: Eukaryota; Metazoa; Chordata; Amphibia; Anura; Myobatrachidae
Exons: 3
Source: RefSeq, a predicted model, not a curated record
CAUCGUUCAAGACGUGUCCUGGUCUCUCGUAGCGGUAGUGGACCAGCAACAUCUGCAAAAACUCCAAAAGGCCAACGCAGAUUACAAGAACCAAGUGAAACACAGCGUGGGAGAACCAUGCUGUUAUCUAGAAGUGAAACAGUAGCUUCAACAUCUUGCACAUGGGUGAUUCACAGAAAGUCAACGUACAGAGAGUCAGGAUGCGGAAAGAAGACACCUUAAAAAAAGACACACCUCAGAGGUUGCCCCAAGGCCUGAACAAACUGUACAGCAAAAACAACCGGAAAAAUUAACUCCUUCACAUAUCCUGGAAAGUAGCACCGGAGUCUCGAUGCCAAUAUUUGGGGACCCAAAGGCCAUUG